GAUGAACGCUGGCUACAGGCUUAACACAUGCAAGUCGAGGGGAAACGACGGGGAAGCUUGCUUCCCCGGGCGUCGACCGGCGCACGGGUGAGUAACGCGUAUCCAACCUGCCUCUGACUGAGGGAUAACCCGUCGAAAGUCGGCCUAAUACCUCAUGGCAUCGUCUGCGGGCAUCCAACGACGAUUAAAGGUUUCAUCGGUCAGGGAUGGGGAUGCGUCUGAUUAGCUUGUUGGCGGGGUAACGGCCCACCAAGGCUACGAUCAGUAGGGGUUCUGAGAGGAAGGUCCCCCACAUUGGAACUGAGACACGGUCCAAACUCCUACGGGAGGCAGCAGUGAGGAAUAUUGGUCAAUGGGCGGGAGCCUGAACCAGCCAAGUAGCGUGCAGGAUGACGGCCCUAUGGGUUGUAAACUGCUUUUAUGCGGGGAUAAAGUGAGGGACGUGUCCUUCAUUGCAGGUACCGCAUGAAUAAGGACCGGCUAAUUCCGUG
This 491-nucleotide ribosomal RNA is filed under the name uncultured bacterium. RNAcentral describes it as "partial 16S ribosomal RNA". It matches the Rfam family "Bacterial small subunit ribosomal RNA", at positions 28 to 507 of the family's 1533-position model. The record is from RNAcentral.